This 267-nucleotide ribosomal RNA is filed under the name uncultured bacterium. RNAcentral's name for it is "partial 16S ribosomal RNA". It matches the Rfam family "Bacterial small subunit ribosomal RNA", at positions 89 to 354 of the family's 1533-position model. The record is from RNAcentral.
CUUUAAGUGGCGGACGGGGUGAGUUAACGCGUGGGCAACCUGCCCCGUGCCGGGGAUACCGCCUGGAAACAGGCGCUAAUACCGCAUUAAGCGCAUACAGCCGCAUGGCAGUAUGCGGAAAGCUCCGGCGGCACGGGAUGGGCCCGCGCCCGAUUAGCCAGUUGGCGGGGUAACGGCCCACCAAAGCGACGAUCGGUAGCCGGCCUGAGAGGGCGGACGGCCACAUUGGGACUGAGACACGGCCCAAACUCCUACGGAAGGCAGCAG